Molecule: ribosomal RNA, 307 nt
Filed under: uncultured eukaryote
Lineage: Eukaryota
Description: partial 18S ribosomal RNA
Rfam family: Eukaryotic small subunit ribosomal RNA
Source: RNAcentral
CCCUUAGACGUUCUGGGCCGCACGCGCGCUACACUGACACAGGCAACGAGCUUUCCUUUACCGAAAGGUAUGGGUAAUCUUUUGAAACUGUGUCGUGCUGGGGAUAGAUCCUUGCAAUUUUUGAUCUUAAACGAGGAAUUCCUAGUAAGCGCGAGUCGUCAACUCGCGUUGAUUACGUCCCUGCCCUUUGUACACACCGCCCGUCGCUACUACCGAUUGAAUGGCUUAGUGAGGCCUCAGGAUCCGCGCUUAAUGUGUGGAGAAUUUGGACAAACUACGUCAUUUAGAGGAAGUAAAAGUCGUAACA